AGGAAUAUUGGUCAAUGGACGAGAGUCUGAACCAGCCAAGUAGCGUGAAGGAUGACUGCCCUAUGGGUUGUAAACUUCUUUUAUAUGGGAAUAAAACAGGGUAUGCAUACCCUCUUGUAUGUACCAUAUGAAUAAGGAUCGGCUAACUCCGUGCCAGCAGCCGCGGUAAUACGGAGGAUCCGAGCGUUAUCCGGAUUUAUUGGGUUUAAAGGGAGCGUAGGUGGUUAAUUAAGUCAGCGGUAAAAAUUCGGGGCUCAACCCCGUCCGGCCGUUGAAACUGGGGGCCUUGAGUGGGCGAGAAGAAGGCGGAAUGCGUGGUGUAGCGGUGAAAUGCAUAGAUAUCACGCAGAACCCCGAUUGCGAAGGCAGCCUUCCGGCGCCCUACUGACGCUGAGGCACGAAAGUGCGGGGAUCGAACAGG
Molecule: ribosomal RNA, 421 nt
Filed under: uncultured bacterium
Lineage: Bacteria
Description: bacterial SSU rRNA
Rfam family: Bacterial small subunit ribosomal RNA
Source: RNAcentral